GACCCGUUCGCUGUCUGUGCUUGUAUGCUGUUGUCUAAAUGUUCUCGUGUUUACGCCCUUUCACGGCUGAAACACGGGUUCGAUUCCCGUAGGGGUCACCA
RNAcentral lists this transfer RNA (101 nucleotides) under Sphingomonas lycopersici. RNAcentral describes it as "tRNA-Ser". Lineage: Bacteria; Pseudomonadati; Pseudomonadota; Alphaproteobacteria; Sphingomonadales; Sphingomonadaceae. The record is from RNAcentral.